GCGCAAGGUAGAGGCUAAGAACCCCGCCCUACGGAAGAUACGGGCACCCGAGAGGGCCUGGGGGAGCCAGUGGUGCGACCGGCUACCUUCUAU
RNAcentral lists this non-coding RNA (93 nucleotides) under unclassified sequences. RNAcentral describes it as "c-di-GMP sequence". It matches the Rfam family "c-di-GMP-II-GAG riboswitch aptamer". The record is from Rfam by way of RNAcentral.